UGGGGAAUCUUGCACAAUGGGCGCAAGCCUGAUGCAGCGACGCCGCGUGGGGGAUGAAUGCCUUCGGGUUGUAAACCCCUUUCGGCAGGGACGAAGCGAAAGUGACGGUACCUGCAGAAGAAGUCCCGGCUAACUACGUGCCAGCAGCCGCGGUAAGACGUAGGGGACGAGCGUUGUCCGGAUUUAUUGGGCGUAAAGCGCGCGCAGGCGGCCACGUAAGUCGGAUGUGAAAUCCCGGGGCUCAACCCCGGAACUGCAUUCGAUACUGCGUGGCUCGAGGUAGGUAGGGGAGAUCGGAAUUCCUGGUGUAGCGGUGGAAUGCGCAGAUAUCAGGAGGAACACCGGUGGCGAAGGCGGAUCUCUGGGCCUUACCUGACGCUCAGGCGCGAAAGCUAGGGGAGCGAACAGG
RNAcentral lists this ribosomal RNA (409 nucleotides) under uncultured bacterium. Its description in RNAcentral is "bacterial SSU rRNA". It matches the Rfam family "Bacterial small subunit ribosomal RNA", at positions 355 to 776 of the family's 1533-position model. The record is from RNAcentral.